GUAUGUGCUCACCUGCGCUGCGCCCUGUAGGAGCCAGGUGACCGGGAUUAUCUGUAGACCGGCGGCACGUCCACCUUGAUGCGCAGCGCGCUGACCGGGUCCUGGCAGAACACCGAGAUGUAUUCCAGGACCUUGGAGUUCAUCUUCUUCUCGCCCUCCUUGGCUCGGUGCCGCUCCUUGUCCCAGCGCUCCUUCUCCCCGUUCAUCUGGGAGAACAGGUUCACCUGGAUGGUGCGCAGCGUGGCCGCCAGCACGUAGAAGCCGCCCUGCAGCAUGUGGCAGAAGGCGGCGCCCAUGCUCAGGGCCGCGCCCAUCAGGUUGGGCACCGUCUCCAGCACCACGCACAUGCCCUCCAGGAGGUGCAGCGUGCCUUUCCUGGCCAGCGGCGGGCCCUGGUGGACGUAGCCGUGCUGGGGGGGGGCCUGCUGGGCAUGGGUCACCAGGUAGCGGCAGCAGUCGGCGAAGUGCGCAGCGGCGCGGCGGAGCGGGAGCAGCGCCAGCAGAAGAUCCACAGCAGGGCGAUGCUGGCUGCCAGAGACGUCCACCAGUCCAUGAGCCUCCCUGUCCCUGUGGCACCGAGCAGAAAGACAGCAGAGAGCAGAGCAGCUGCCUUUACCAGGAUAAAUCCCAAACAUUAAGCAUCUCGGCAGGUGUCGAGCUGUUUGCAGCAGCGGAGCCUGAAAAGUCAACAGAGCAUUAAAGCUGCAGCUCCGAUGGUUCGGAGCCUCAGGAGGCCUCUGAUGUGACCUCCUUCAACCCCGAUCACUGGACAUCCAAAGCUUUCUACUGGAAUAAAGACCAAAGAACUACAGACUCUUCACAACCUGCUCAAACUCUUGGUACAGGACCUCACCACACGGAUCAAGAAGGUUGCUUUGUAGAACUGUUCCAGAAAACCUCACUAAACCACAUGGAGGGGCCUCAAGAUAGUCGUCCAAAUGAAACCGUACAAAAACCAAACU
Amphiprion ocellaris (clown anemonefish) is the source of this 962-nucleotide long non-coding RNA. The record is from Ensembl. Lineage: Eukaryota; Metazoa; Chordata; Actinopteri; Pomacentridae.